CCUUUUCCCUUUCUGCCCUCUGCCAUGUGAGGUCACAGUGUUCCUCCCUCCUGAGGAUGCAGUGUUCAUGAAAGCAAACACUGGGCCCUCACCAGGCAACAAACCUGCUGGUGCCUUCAUCUUGGACUUCCCAGCCUUCGGAACUAUGGAGCCCGCACUCUCCAGUUCAUCACCACCCCAGCAUCCCUACUCUUGCAUCUAACAGUUUCCGCUAUUUUGCACCACCUGCCUGGCCCUUAUGGGCAACUCAAGGAAGAAAGGAAAGAAGAGAUAGAGGAAAAAUGGAUUCAACAAAUGAAAGUGUUCUUUCUGACUACUGCUGUGUUUACAAACAUUUUAAUCAUCAAAACAUGCUUUAUUUGAUAGAAAGAUCAAAUCUGCCUUUGUAAAACAAGAGACUAUUUUAAUCAUUAAGACAACACACAUGUUUGAUUUGGAGGCGUGUUCUCAUUCAAAACCUUGCAAAAUAUAAUUUCUUCUUGUCUGGGAGAUGGUGUCUUUCUUCGGGGAGAACCUUGAGAGAAAUGUCUAUGAAUGUGUCUGUAGAUUGAGGAUAGGCCAACAAACAUAUUUUGAAAUAUUUUUUCUUUCUUUUAAAAAAAUAGAUACUUUUAAAAGAAAAUGCUUAUUUAAAUUACAUAGCUCUUUUUUUCACUCUCAGUCAUCAUUUGUGGUUUCAGUCAGUACUACAUUUAUUCCCCAGAGCUAGGAUUGCUGUGUUUUUAGAAAGGGAGCCUGUUUGAAGGGACUCUAUACUCUUGCAGUAAUUAAAAUCCUUUUAGGAGUCUUUGACUUUGACUUACUGCUUUGUUUUAAAUUAUUGAAAUUAUUCAACUUCCCCAUUCUAACCCACGGAAGGCUGUUGUUGUUCUCAUUUAUAAUGGCACAAUAUAAGUUUAAAGAUAGCUGUCUCCACAUGAAUGCAUCUGCAAAUCCAUCUCUCUUCUCUCUUCUGCCAUCCAGGUUAAGAAGCUCCACUGCGCUUUGUCCAUUGCAAGUUGAGAAGUGAGGCCCCAGCUGUCACAUACAGUGAGUGAAGAAGCUGAGCUUCCCUCAACGCCUGGGCCUGUAUGAAUUUUUUUUUUUUUUUUUUUUUUGGAGACGGAGUCUCACUUUGUUGCCCAGGCUGGAGUGCAAUGGCACUAUCUCAGGCCACUGCAACCUCUGCCUCCCAGGUUCAAGCGAUUCUUCUGCCUCAGCCUCCUGAGUAGCUGGGAUUACAGAAGUGCACCAUUACAGCUUGCUAAUUUUUGUAUUUUUAGUAGAGAAGGGUUUUCACCAUGUUGGCCAGGUUGGUCUCGAACUCUUGGCCUCAGGUGAUCCGCCCGCACAGCCUCCCAAAGUGUUGGGAUUACAGGCGUGAGCCACUGCGCCCGGCCUUAGGUAAGUUCCUUUUUUUUUUUUUUUGAGACGGAGUUUCACUCUGUUGCCCAGGCUGGGGUGCAAUGGCAUGAUCUCGGCUCACCGCAACCUCUGCCUCCUGGGUUCAAGCAAUUCUCCUGCCUCAGCCUCCUGAGGAGCUGGGAUUACAGGCAUGCACCAUCAUGCCCGGCUAAUUUUGUAUUUUUAGUAGAGACGGGGUUUCUCCAUGUUGAGGCUGGUCUCAAACUCCUGACCUCAGGUGAUUCACCCGCCUCGGCCUCCCAAACUGCUGGGAUUAUAGGCAUAAGCCACCGCGCCCGGCCUUAGGUAAGUUUCUUAAAGGAAAUGCAGACUUCAAUUACUUUCACCUUGGCUGUAUAUAAAAAAUUAUCUGGGAAGCUUUAAAAAAGAUCCAGAAAUACCCAGGCAGAGAACAAAGGGAAUUUGCUCCCUGCUCCCUUAGAGACAUUAAAUUGAAAUUGCUUGGAUCAGCCAGGCACGGCGGCUCAUGCCUGUAAUCCCAGCACUUUGGGAGGCUGAGGCGGGCACAUCAUGAGGUCAGGCGUUCGAGACCAGCCUGUCCAACACGGUGAAACCUGUCUGUACUGAAAAUACAAAAAUUAGCCAGGCCUGGUGGCACAUGCCUGUAGUCCCAGCUACUUGGGAGGCUGAGGCAGGAGAAUCCCUUGAACCCAAGAGGUAGAGGUUGCAGUGAGCCAAGAUCGUGCCACUGUACUCCAUCCUAGGCAACAGAGCAAGACUGCAUCUCAAGAAAAAAAAAAAGAAAUUACUUGGAUCCUAAGAAUGGGUAUUUUUUUUAAUUGUGGUAGAACAAACAACAGCAACAACAAAAAAACGCACAACGUAAAAUUUGCCAUCUUAAUCAUUUUUAAGUGUACAGUUUAGUAGUGUUAAGUAAAUUUACAUUGUGAUGCAACAGAUUUCCAGAAGCUUUUCAUCUUGCAAAGCUGAAUCCCUACACCUUUUUUUUUUUUUUUUUUUGAGACAGAGUCUUGCUCUGUUGCCCAGGCUGGAGUGCAGUGGCAUGAUCUUGGCUCACUGCAACCUCCACCUCCUGGGUUCAAGCGAUUCUCCUGCCUCAACCUCCCAAGUAGCUGAGAGUAAGGCGCUCACCACCAUGCCCGGCUAAUUUUUGUAUUUUUAGUAGAGAUGGGGUUUCACCAUAUUGGCCAGGCUGGUCUCAAACACCUGACCUCGUGAUCUACCCGCCUCGGCCUCCCAAAGUGCUGAGAUUACAGGCAUAAGCCACUGCGCCCGGCCAUCUACACCCAUUAAACAACUCCCCACUUCCCCUUCUCAUCAGGUGCUGGCAACCACCAUUCUACUUUUUGUUUCUAUGAGUUUGACUACUUUAGAUGCCUCAUAUAAGUGAAAUCAUACAGUAUUUGUCUUUUGUGGCUUAUGUCACAUAGCAUAAUGUCCUCAAGGCUCAUCUAUGUUGUAGCAUGUGUCAGCAUUUCCUUCCUUUUUAAGGCUGAAUAAUAUUUCAUGGUACGUACAUAACACAUUUUCUUUUUUCUUUUUUUUUUUGAGAUGGAGUCUUGCUGUGUCGCCCAGGCUGGAGUGCAGUGGCGUGAUCUCGGCUCACUGCAAGCUCCGCCUCCUGGGUUCUUGCCAUUCUCCUGCCUCAGCCUCCCAAGUAGCUGGGACUACAGGCGCUCGCCACCAUGCCCGGCUAUUUUUUUGUAUUUUUAGUAGAGACGGAGUUUCACCGUGUUAGCCAGGAUGGUCUCCAACUCCUGACCUCGUGAUCCACCAACCUCGGCUGGGAUUACAGGCCUGAGCCACCACGCCGGCCCAUAACACAUUUUCUUUAUCGAUUCAUCUAUCGAUGGGCAUUUAGAUUGUUUCCACAUCUUGGCUAUUGUGAAUAAUGCCGGGGUGAACAUGGGUGUGCAAAUACUAUAUAUCUUUCCUUUUUAAGGCUGAAUAAUAUUUCUUGGUAUGUACAUAACACAUUUUCUUUAUCCAUUCAUCUAUCGAUGGGCAUUUAGGUUGUUUCCACAUCUUGGCUAUUGUGAAUAACGCCGCUGUGAACACGGGUGUGCAAAUACUAUAUCUCUUUGAAAUCCUGCUUUCAAUUCUUUUGGAUAUGUAGCUAGAAGUAGAAUUGCUGGAUCAUAUGUUAAGUAUAUUUUUAAUUUUUUGAGGAACUUCCAUUCUGUUUUCCAUAGCAGCUGCAUCAUUUUACAUUCCCACGAACUGCACAAGUGUUCCAAAGAGCAUGGGUAUUUUUAAAAGCUCUUUCAGUAGAAGCUUUCUGUUUAUUAUCUUUUGCUUUCCUUUUUUCUUCUCCACCAUUACCUUAACACAACCUAUCUCGUUUACCUGGACUAACUGAUUGGUUUGAUAAAUUUUCCUAUAUUUUCUUUCUUUUUCUUAUUGGAGGCGAUACAAUUCAAUUCUUUUACAAUAGACUUUAAAUUUUUUUACACGUAUAUUAUUUAAUAAAUACUUUUUUCUCUUUUUUUUUUUUUUUUUGGAGACAGGGUCUCUCUCUGUCACCCAGGCUGGAGUGCAGUGGCAUGAUCUCAGCCCACUGCAACCUCAGCCACCUGGGUUCAAGCAAUUAUCAUGCCUCAACCUCUGGAAUAGCUGGGAUUACAGGGGCGCACCAUCACCCCCGGCUAAUUUUUAUAUUCUAACAGAGACAGGGUUUCACCAUGUUGGCCAGGCUGGUCUCAAACUCCUGACCUCAGGUGAUCCACCCACCUUGGCCUUCCAAAAUGCUGGGAUUACAGGCCUGAGCCACCGUGCCCGGCCAUAAAAUACUUUUUUCUAACAAAAUCGAAAGUUUUUACUGUUUUUUCUUUUCUUAAACACAUUGUGACGUAUUAAAGUAUGCUUGAAUAAUUUAUUGUAUAACUUUACCUCCCACCCCAUCAUAAUAGUGUUCUCUGGAGGUUUAACAUUCUUUUAAGCACCCUCACCCCAUAACUGUUUUUCACAAUUGUUAAAUAAAUUUUCUAACAUAAUUUGUCAAUUUGUGUGCUAAAAUCUGUUUUCCGUGUACAAAUGUAUCUGAGUCACUUUUCUUCUUGCCACUUUCAAGAAGACCUGCUACAAUACAAGGUAUUUUUCAAAAUAUGUAACAGCCAGGGCCCUGGAAUCAAACUGAGCUGACCAAUCAGCAGGCUCUCUUCCUGCGGGGGCGGGGAGCGGUUGAAGAAGGAUGGGAGGAUUGUGGUGAGGGGGAGCCGUGGAGAGACAGGCACUCACAAGCCAGAACAGGGCACUGACCCAUCAGAAUGGGCACUGACUUUAAGCAGCCUCUUUGUUCACACCAGUGCUGCCGUCCUUGGUGACCAUCAGCCCCAGCCUUCAGAGAGAGAAAGAGAGACAGAGACAGAGACUAUAUGCAGUAUUUUUUUUUUCUUUUUCCUGAGAUGGAGUCUCACUGUGUCACCGAGGAUGGAGUGCAGUGUCGCAAUCUUGGCUCACUGCAACCUCAGCCUCCCGGGUUCAAGCGAUUCUUCUGCCUCAGCCUCCUGAGUAGCUGAGAUUACAGGUGCAUGCCACCAUGCCCGGCUAAUUUUUGUAUUUUUAGUAGAGACGGGGUUUCACCAUGUUGGCCAGGCUGGUCUCGAACUCCUGACCUUGUGAUCCACCUGCCUCAGCCUCCCAAAGUGCUGGGGUUACAGGCAUGAGCCACCGUGCCUGACCUUUUUUUUUUUUUUUAAAGAUAUUUACUGUUCUAGUGUGGAAUAUUGCCUGGAAUGGAAUGGUUUAAAUAUUACCAUAGUGUAGUUUAAAAUAUAAAAUAGGAUUUGGAAUCUUAUUGUGAUAAAUUUCUGUAUAUGAUGUAUGUGGUUGUCUCCCUCCGCCAAAGUAAGGAACCCUUUUACAGCAUGUUGAGAAGGUAUUUUUUGGUAUGAAAGGGGGACAGGCCUUUACAUCUUUCAGGGAUACACAUAAGCAUAAGGAUUCAGCCUCUAUGGGGAAGGUGUGUGCAGCACUCAAAGUUGCUAACAUCAACUUCCUAACUUUCAGCCAGGGUUCUUACUGCAUUUGGCAUGGCUCUGAUGAGAGAGUGGAGAAUUUCUGACAGCAUAGCACACUAGCUUCUGACAGAUGGGGUUAAGUUGCCAAAAAUGACAAUCAGGGAUUCAAUAAGAAAUUUUGGUCAUUAAAUCGAUUUUAUAUUAUUGCUUUUUUUUUUUUUUUUUUGAGACGGAGUCUCCCUGUGUCGCCCAGGCUGAAGUGCAGUGGUGCAGUCUCACUCACUGCAAGCUCCGCCUCCCGGGUUCAUGCCAUUCUCCUGCCUCAGCCUCCUGAGUAGCUGGGACUACAGGGGCCUGCCACCAUGCCCAGCUAAUUUUUUUUGUAUUUUUAGUAGAGAUAGGGUUUCACCGUGUUAGCCAGGAUGGUCUCGAUCUCCUGACUUCGUGAUCCACCUGCCUCGGCCUCCCAAAGUGCUGGGAUUACAAGUGUGAGCCACCGCGCUCGGCCUAUAUUAUUACUUUUUAUUAGGUUGGUGCAAAAGUAAAUGUGGUUUUUGCCAUUACUUUUAAUGGGAAAAACCGCAAUUACUAAUCUUCCGUUUGUCAUAGGACUUUAAAACCAUAUAUUUCCCCUCAAUUUUAUUCUCCUUUUGGUUUAAUAGUUGUUAAGACAUUUUUUCAUAAUUAGCACAGUAUGUUUGACUGCAGACCCUUUUUUUUUUUUUUUUUUGAGACGGAGUCUCACUCUGUCACCCAGGUUGGAGUGCAGUGGUGUGAUCUCGGCUCACUGCAACCUCUGCCUCCUGGGUUCAAGCAAUUCUCUGCCUCAGCCUCCC
This 6160-nucleotide long non-coding RNA is filed under the name Homo sapiens (human). RNAcentral describes it as "HSALNT0308551". Lineage: Eukaryota; Metazoa; Chordata; Mammalia; Primates; Hominidae. The record is from RNAcentral.